UACGGAGGGGGUUAGCGUUGCUCGGAAUGACUGGGCGUAAAGCGCGCGUAGGCGGAUCAGGAAGUUGGGGGUGAAAUCCCGGGGCUCAACCCCGGAAUGGCCUUCAAAACUCCUGGUCUUGAGUUCGAGAGAGGUGAGUGGAAUUCCGAGUGUAGAGGUGAAAUUCGUAGAUAUUCGGAGGAACACCAGUGGCGAAGGCGGCUCACUGGCUCGACACUGACGCUGAGGUGCGAAAGCGUGGGGAGCAAACAGG
This 253-nucleotide ribosomal RNA is filed under the name uncultured bacterium. Its description in RNAcentral is "partial 16S ribosomal RNA". It matches the Rfam family "Bacterial small subunit ribosomal RNA", at positions 524 to 776 of the family's 1533-position model. The record is from RNAcentral.